RNAcentral lists this ribosomal RNA (606 nucleotides) under Triticum aestivum (bread wheat). Its description in RNAcentral is "partial small subunit ribosomal RNA". The record is from RNAcentral. Lineage: Eukaryota; Viridiplantae; Streptophyta; Magnoliopsida; Poales; Poaceae.
AUGAGUUCGUCAUAUGAUUCUUCUGAACAAGAAUUUGAUCUGGAAGAGGAGGAGGAUCUUGCAAUGAUCGUAGCUAUGCACAUCAAUAAAAAACUGAAGCACGGUGUUUCGGUUAUGGGUCGACAGAAAAUUUGGAGGGAUAGGAUCGAUGCCCACAACAGAUUGAUCAGGCACUAUUUUGCGAAUAAUCCCGUGUACCCCGAGUCGUACUUCCGGUGCCGGUUUAGGACGAGCACCGAGUUGUUCAGGCACACUGCAGAGAAACUAGCGAGCCAUGACCGGUUUUUUCAGCAAAGGAGGAAUGUCGCCGGAGAGCUCGGGCAUAGCACCUUUCACAAGGUGACAACCGCUCUGUGUAUAUUGGCAUACGGUAUCCCCGCUGAUCUAGUUGAUGAUCACUUGACCAUGGGUGAGAGUCAAGCCAUCAUGUGUGUCAAGCGCUUCACAGUCGGAAUUGUGCAAGUGCUUGGCCAGGAGUAUUUGAGAUCUCCCAAUGCUGAAGACGUCGCAAGGCUAUUGGAGAUGAACAAAGCUUGUGGCUUCCCGGGUAUGCUUGGCUCAAUAGAUUGCAUGCAUUGGAGUUGGAAGAAUUGUCCUAAGGCAUGA